This is a long non-coding RNA of Onychomys torridus (southern grasshopper mouse), 581 nucleotides long. RefSeq lists it as uncharacterized. Lineage: Eukaryota; Metazoa; Chordata; Mammalia; Rodentia; Cricetidae. The transcript has 4 exons. The record is from RefSeq and is a predicted model, not a curated record.
AGAGGAAGGGGACUUAAUGGCAGGCCUAGACCUAAUGAUGGUUGUGACCCUAAACUGCUUCCUUUGAGGUGCUCUGUAAAGUUUCCAAUGAUGAACCAGUUUGAUUUCACCAAUGUUCACCGACAGAACCAAUGACAAUAUGGACCUUACUUAUAGAGCAUGGGUGAGGUAUUACCGACAAGAGUCUAUUACAGGUUCCUGCUGGCAGCAGCUUAUUUAGUAUCUGUAAAUCCAUUGUUCCUGUCCCUGUGGGGAUCUGUAUUUCACCAAGUCUUGGUCACUGCAAAGUCAUAUAAGUUGUCCAGCCAUCACAGUGUCAGCUGGCUAGUGUUAGAGGCACACAGCUGGAAAAACCGGUCCACAUUUGGCAACUGAGAAGGUGAAAACAAAAAGGGAGAAAACAACUGGACAUGUGACUGAACUUCUCUGUAAGCCCAAAAAAAAUCUUUCCUUCUCUAGGUUGCCUGGGUCAUGGAGUAUUAUCACAGCAACAGAAAAGUAAAUAAUAUAAGGAGACAGUACAUGUGGCGUAGGCACGUAGGCCCAAAACAGCAAACGAAAGAAGGAAUGUCAUGGUCUUG